UUGCGAACGGGUGAGUAACACGUGGGUGAUCUGCCCUGCACUUCGGGAUGAGCCUGGGAAACUGGGUCUAAUACCGGAUAGGACGAUGGUUUGGAUGCCAUUGUGGAAAGUUUUUCGGUGUGGGAUGAGCUCGCGGCCUAUCAGCUUGUUGGUGGGGUAAUGGCCUACCAAGGCGUCGACGGGUAGCCGGCCUGAGAGGGUGUACGGCCACAUUGGGACUGAGAUACGGCCCAG
Molecule: ribosomal RNA, 234 nt
Filed under: uncultured Actinomycetales bacterium
Lineage: Bacteria; Bacillati; Actinomycetota; Actinomycetes; Actinomycetales
Description: partial 16S ribosomal RNA
Rfam family: Bacterial small subunit ribosomal RNA
Source: RNAcentral